UAUUCUCCUUUUACUCCUCUUUUGUUGGACUAAUAUUUUCCAAAGUCUCGGAAAAUAUUAGUCCAACAGAAGAGGAAUAAAAGGAGAAUAAUAUCUC
Paramuricea clavata is the source of this 97-nucleotide non-coding RNA. The record is from the annotation of a GenBank genome assembly. NCBI's taxonomy places the organism in Eukaryota, Metazoa, Cnidaria, Anthozoa, Malacalcyonacea, Plexauridae.